UGCCAGCAGCCGCGGUAAUACGGAGGUUGCAAGCGUUGUUCGGAUUUACUGGGCGUAAAGGGAGCGCAGGCGGCCAGGUCAGUCGAAUGUGAAAGCCCCCGGCUCAACUGGGGAUGGUCGUUCGAUACUGCUUGGCUCGAAGGUAGGAGAGGGAAGUGGAAUUUCAGGUGUAGUGGUGAAAUGCGUAGAUAUCUGAAGGAACACCAGUGGCGAAGGCGACUUUCUGGCCUAUUCUUGACGCUGAGGCGCGAAAGCUAGGGGAGCGAACGGGAUUAGAUA
Molecule: ribosomal RNA, 279 nt
Filed under: uncultured bacterium
Lineage: Bacteria
Description: partial 16S ribosomal RNA
Rfam family: Bacterial small subunit ribosomal RNA
Source: RNAcentral